AGUGAACGCUGGCGGUAGGCCUAACACAUGCCAGUCGAACGGCAGCACAGUAAGAGCUUGCUCUUACGGGUGGCGAGUGGCGGACGGGUGAGGAAUGCAUCGGAAUCUACUUUUUCGUGGGGGAUGACGUAGGGAAACUUACGCUAAUACCGCAUACGACCUACGGGUGAAAGCAGGGGAUCUUCGGACCUUGCGCGAUUGAAUGAGCCGAUGUCGGAUUAGCUAGUUGGCGGGGUAAAGGCCCACCAAGGCGACGAUCCGUAGCUGGUCUGAGAGGAUGAUCAGCCACACUGGAACUGAGACACGGUCCAGACUCCUACGGGAGGCAGCAGUGGGGAAUAUUGGACAAUGGGCGCAAGCCUGAUCCAGCCAUACCGCGUGGGUGAAGAAGGCCUUCGGGUUGUAAAGCCCUUUUGUUGGGAAAGAAAAGCAGCAGGUUAAUACCCCGCUGUUCUGACGGUACCCAAAGAAUAAGCACCGGCUAACUUCGUG
RNAcentral lists this ribosomal RNA (492 nucleotides) under uncultured bacterium. RNAcentral's name for it is "partial 16S ribosomal RNA". It matches the Rfam family "Bacterial small subunit ribosomal RNA", at positions 29 to 507 of the family's 1533-position model. The record is from RNAcentral.